RNAcentral lists this small RNA (63 nucleotides) under Pseudomonas sp. BAY1663. RNAcentral's name for it is "Pseudomonas sRNA P36". It matches the Rfam family "Pseudomonas sRNA P36". Lineage: Bacteria; Pseudomonadati; Pseudomonadota; Gammaproteobacteria; Pseudomonadales; Pseudomonadaceae. The record is from Rfam by way of RNAcentral.
AAGACUGUUACCGCCUGCACAUACGCCGUAACAAAAACCGGGAUCAUCGGUAACGAUGGCCCG